This 501-nucleotide ribosomal RNA is filed under the name uncultured bacterium. RNAcentral describes it as "partial 16S ribosomal RNA". It matches the Rfam family "Bacterial small subunit ribosomal RNA", at positions 30 to 523 of the family's 1533-position model. The record is from RNAcentral.
AUUGAAUGCUGGCGGCAGGCUUAACACAUGCAAGUCGAGCGGGGGAAGGUAGCUUGCUACCGGACCUAGCGGCGGACGGGUGAGUAAUGCUUAGGAAUCUGCCUAUUAGUGGGGGACAACAUCUCGAAAGGGAUGCUAAUACCGCAUACGUCCUAUGGGAGAAAGCAGGGGAUCUUCGGACCUUGCGCUAAUAGAUGAGCCUAAGUCGGAUUAGCUAGUUGGUGGGGUAAAGGCCUACCAAGGCGACGAUCUGUAGCGGGUCUGAGAGGAUGAUCCGCCACACUGGGACUGAGACACGGCCCAGACUCCUACGGGAGGCAGCAGUGGGGAAUAUUGGACAAUGGGGGGAACCCUGAUCCAGCCAUGCCGCGUGUGUGAAGAAGGCCUUAUGGUUGUAAAGCACUUUAAGCGAGGAGGAGGCUACUUUAGUUAAUACCUAGAGAUAGUGGACGUUACUCGCAGAAUAAGCACCGGCUAACUCUGUGCCAGCCGCCGCAGUAA